Molecule: long non-coding RNA, 24202 nt
Filed under: Salvia miltiorrhiza (redroot sage)
Lineage: Eukaryota; Viridiplantae; Streptophyta; Magnoliopsida; Lamiales; Lamiaceae
Description: long non-coding RNA (SMIL_LNC007140)
Source: RNAcentral
UUUUUUUUUGUAUUUAACUACUGGUGCAGUUGUGAGCAAGCCAAAUGGUCCUAGUCCAAAUUCAGAGCAUGAGCAUUCAUGGAGGCACUUUAAUGAUGAUGAGUAUGCUUUGUGGUGUAUGAUGUUGCACUGGAUGUGGUGUUUUGUUUGCAAGGUUGUUCACGGCAAAAUUCAGGCUGCGCUUACUACCUCAAUUGAUGAUAGUCAAGCUGCCUUGCAGCCGUUUUGGGCAGCAAAACCCACGAGUGUCUCAUGGGGUUGAGGCUUGGUAAACGAAAAUGGUUUCCGCCGCGGGUGGGGAGGCUUCGGUGUGAUGUUGACGCGCUUUUUGAUCCACAUCGGCGACAGUAUGGUGUAGGAGUGGUGGUUAGAGAUCACCUAUGAUGGAGAUUAUGGCUGUAGUUGCCGGAAUUACAUGGUGCCUAGAAUAUGAUAUUCUUCCCAUAGAGUUGUUUACUAAAUCUAUGAUGGCGUCGAGGGUGAUGGCUUGCCCGGAUGAGGAGGGUCGUUUUUUGCCAGAUGACAUCUUAGAUAUUCUUGUUUUUGCUCGGUUGUCCAUGCUUAUUAGGGUGCGUUUUCUUUGGUUGUAAAUUUAUCAUGAGAAAACGAAGGAUAAACAAAAUUUCACCCUUUAAAUCAUUCAUUUCUUUUCCCUCAUUUCCUAUUUAACCUUUACUCAUUCCUCAUUUUCACUACAAAUGAGGGAUAAUAUUAUCACACCAUUUUUGGAGGGAUAAUGAUAUCCCUCAUUUUUAGUGUAAAGGGGGGAAUGAGUAAGGGUCAAAUAGGAAAUGAGGGAAAAGAAAGGAAGGAUUUAAAGGGUGAAAUUUUGUUUAUCAUUCAUUUUUCUAUGAUAAAUCUAUAACCAAAUAGAACGCACCCUUAGUGUUAAUCAUAUGUAUAGAGAGGCGAAUACUGUAGCUCAUAAUCUCGCACAAUUUGCGCGCUCUUGUCAGCAACUUGUUUGUUGGAUUGCUGAUUUUCCUCGAUGGUUUUAUGAUUUGCUGUCAACGGAUUAUUAAUAUAUGAGUUCGUCUUGGUUUUCAAAAAAAAGUUUCCUUCUCCUUAUUUAUUUAUCCGAUCAUCUUCUUCUUAUACUUUUUCAGGCAUCUUCCCUAUAUAUUUUUCAGGUGACUUUGGUGCUUCAUUUCCUUAUUCUAUUUAGGGUUCCGAAUAUACUUUUCAUAUCAUAUUUGGUGUUUAACUAGUCGAUUUUGUGUUUCUUCAUAUAUUUUUUUCCCAGAUCUUAUUGUGAUAUUUCAUUCAGUUUUGAGGAAGAGAAUUAUUUGUACUAUGCGUGUCAUGAUGCUGCAUGCCUGACUCGUUCCAAGGGAUGAACUAGUUUUUUAGACAAAUGAUACACAUGGACCCAUUUGUACCAUUCGUCCCUAGAGAUUCCGCCAGUUCUUGAGACGAAUGGUACGAAAAAAACUCCAUUUGUACCAAUCGUUUCAAGUGUUGCACGCUACCUCUUGGAACGAAUGAUACGAAAGAACCUUAUCCGUACCAAUCGUUCUAAGUGUUGUGCGCUACCUCUUGGGAUGAAUAGCACGAACAACCUCAUUUGUACCAGUCUUCUCAAGUUUUGUGCGCUACCUCUUGGAAAAAAUGGUACAAAGAUUUUUCUUUCGUACCAGUUAUCCCAAGUGUUGUGCGCUACCUUUUGAAUCGAAUGAUAUGAAAAAAAUCUAAUUUGUAUCAAUCGUUUCAAGUGUUUUUAAUGUGGAGCAGCUAGUGUUGCCAAGGGCCGACCGGAACCGGCGGUUCGACCCUGAACCGGCCCGGUGGUCAACGGUUNUUUUGAAUCGAAUGAUAUGAAAAAAAUCUAAUUUGUAUCAAUCGUUUCAAGUGUUUCUAAUGUGGAGCAGCAUGCGGUCGAUUAUUUGGCCGCUAGCGAUUGCGAAAUGAGUCGUUGUGGGAUGAAAAAGUUAUAUAUGUUCUCUUUAAGAUCUCAAAAGUAAAGGAAAUUCAUAUAAGCUUUUCAAUAUAUUUUCCAAUGAAGACUUUUCAUUCAUCUUUUUUAAACAUUGUCAAACGUGAAAUUUAUAUGACUUGGACAUCAAUUAUGAAUGAGAGGAUUUUAUCUCGUUUAAUUAAUUUUUUUUAAUAUUUAUAAAAAAUAUUAAAUUGAUCACAUUGAAUUCAAGAAAUAAUUUAUAUAACCUAAAUAUUUUAUUUUGCCAAAUUGUGGGAUGGUCAAAGUAAAUUAAUUCUAAGUAUUUAUUUAUGUUCUCCUUAAGAUCUCAAUAAGAAAUUUGUAUAAGUUUUUCAAAGGUGCAGUCAUGUGUAUGAAAUAAAAAUAAAGCAAAUUUAAGAAAAAUAAGAAUGGAGAGAUUAUAUCAUGCCACCUGGUAAAAAGAGAAUCAAUAUGGACGUUUAUAUAAUGAAUUACUCAAGAGUUUCAUGGUGUUUGAUCUAAAUUUCAAAACUUCUAAUUAAAUUCCUUUGUGAAUUUGGUUUUCUUGAGAUUUGGUACACAGACAGCGCCAUUGCUGAACUUAUUAUUUGUCAAUCACUAUAAACUAAGAAAUUGAUGCAAUUAAGCCAUACACAAAUACACCCUAGUAAAAGCAACACUUAACCGAGGUAGAAGUGAAACAAUUUUGUAUUUUAUUUUAAAGUUUAGAUAUAUAUACACAAUAUAUAGGUAGAGUGCUCUGUGCCGGACCUUAUUCCAUUUUGUAAGUUAAACGUUAGUUGAAAAACAGAAUCGAAUAUAAUUUUGUGUACGAAUUUCACUCAACAAAUCAUUCUUUUACAGAAAGAUGAUUUGUAAAAAAAUGACAAAUAUAGCUAAAAGAGUGCUCCAGCAUAACCAUUCAAAAAAACCAAAGGAAAAAAGCUAAAUCUCAUUCUCGCUGACAAUUUACAAGCCUCAAAUGGAAGAAGAAGAAGAAGAAAAACACACAUACAGAAUCUGUUAAUAACUAAGCCAAGCUAAAAUGCAAUCUCACAAGGAGCAUGAAAUGUUCUUCCACGGCAGAUGGCCUCAAGGUUUUCUCCAGCAUAUGAACACAGAGGCGAAACUUCCACGCCUAAUUCAUCAUUCAAACAAACACUUUUUAGCUUAUAAAACUGAGUCUAGUUUCUAAGUUGAGCAGUAAACUGUCAGUUAUAUAUAACAUACCAGUAGCAUAUAGGGGUACUGAAUGAGUCAAGAAGCCACCAGCAGCAACUACCCAACGAGUGUGCAGGCGAAGGACGAGCAGCCGGGCACUGUCUGGGGUGUCGAAAUUUGAUCCAUUGGCGUUUUUCACUGGCGCAAAUUCUUCUUCACGUAAUGCCUAUCCAGUGGAGGUUUAUCAAAGCUAUGUAUGGAUCCAUAUUCCCAACUAUAGUGCAUAUUUGAAGAGGACAAACGUUAAUUAUAUAGGAAAGAGUAGAGGUGUGUACCUCAAAAAGUGCUGUGGAAGGUGCAUAAGGAAAUGCGUCAAAUAUGAAUUGCUCCAGUUUGUAUCCCAUUGUGUGUCCGUGAAUUGAAGGGAUAUUCUUUUCUGCUAGAUGAUAACUGCACUCACGAAAAUAUGUAAACUAUAAUGAAUCCAGUGUGUGCAAAGUGAGAAUAAUAGUUGACAGUAAUAGUAUAUCAGUCAGCUGUUAGGGGCCUAAGUUAACAUGAGAUGGUGGCACAUACGCACACACACGAACAGACACAGAGACGAUACUGACAUGCUGUCUUUCUCAAGGCCAUUUGCUACUUGGUUCAGAAAGUCCAAGGUGAACAUGUGUAGGCAAACCUGAAAUGAGGAGGAUACAUAAGAAAAGGAAAUAAAAGUGAAAAGGUGCAUGUCAAAAUCAUUAUUCAUUUUAUAUCAGACAAUAAAGCAUGUCACCGGCAAGAGAAAAUAUCCACAUCCAUUAGCUAAAGGGCCAUGAACAAUUGCCUAAGAAGAAAGCUUAUUCAGGUGAGGAGAUUCUAGAAGUUCCAAACUAAAGCAGUUAAUAGAUUUAGUUCAUUCUUUCGUUUUUUUAAUCAACUAUCUCCUACCUAAUAGAUUCUGCAAGCACAAACUAGAAGAAGGUAAGCUCGGGAUGUUGAUAUGGGGAAGCUGAGUUUGAUUAUACAAAAGUUCAAACUUAUGCUCUUUCAUUUAUAUUAUUUCCCUACAAAUUUUAUUUCAAAAAUCAUAGAAAAAAAUGUGUGAUUUUAUUGUGAACAUGCAUCUCCGUAUUACACAACUUUUUGAGAAAUUUGUCAAAACCUUGAAUGCAUUUGACCUUCCGGAGCAUAAUGGCCCAUUGCAAUAUUCAAGGCAAACAAGUGGGGAACUAGGGAAGUUGAGAAAGAAAAGUAGGGUACGGGCAGUACAUUACUCCAGCAAUAGCGAAGGCGGCCAGUUUCCUGAUUGAUUGCACUAGCCAUUGAUGAGUCCAGUUCACUGUACUCAACCACAGAGACCGGUCCACCUUUCCCUCGGCGAACAAAUACACCAACCUUUUCUUGUGGGUACGCCUGCAAUCCAAUAAAUAACCAGGAAACAAUAAAUACAGUGUAUAGCAAUCACACUUUGAUUUUUGUCAUACAAAAUACUGAAAAUUACAUACCUUUCGGACAACCUUGGCAGCAGCUGCCACGCCUGUAUCAAUGAAAUAACCCAAGAAAGUUGGAUCUCCAACACGCACCUGUUUAGAAGACAUUCAAUUUUGGUUAUAUUUGGACUAUAUCUCAAAGUAAAUUCCACUUGGAAAUUAAAGAUGGACUAAAAGGAAAAAGUAACUAACCAGAGCAUUAUCAACUCCAUAACAGUCCAAGUAUUUUAUCCCUCUCGUAGCCAUAUCUUCCAACAAUUUUGACGAUUUUAAAGCUGCCAAUUUACUUUUUCUUGUUAGAUCAAUAUACAGUACAUCAUAUAAAGGGUUACAGCAAAAAAUACUGUAAAAUGCAUGCAGGUUUCUUAAUUUACUGUACCUGAAUACACUCCUCCGUUCCCAUCAGGAGACUUCGCAACCUGGCUUUAGAAAUUUAGAUGUUUUUAGGUAUAUACUUAUAAGCUGCAUAUAUCAUACAGAAAUGACAGCAAACACCAAAAGUAAGCACAAUUAUGAAGAUCAAACAUUAGCUGAAACACCACUCUAGAAUAUUUUCAUGUGUCUUUGCAAAGACAUCUUAAAAAUGUUGUUUAGCAAACAUAUUUUCAUGAAUACAAGUCUGAUGCCUACUUAAACUAAUCAUAAUAAGUAUUAUGUAGGUCAAAGCAGUACUUAUCAAGAAACAGUAAAGUCUGGAUGUAUGUUAAGGUAAUUGCCAGCGAAUCUUACUCUGUAUGGAGUUUCCAUUAUAAAUCUACCAUCUCUUGACACACAAGGAAUUGUCCCCUGCUGGAAGAACGUAACCUGUAGUCCAGUUUCACUGGUCAAUUGUUGUUCACAAUCCUAGAAAUCACAACUAGAUAGCCAGAAUUCUCUUACUUGAUCUGCUUCAAGACCAAAGUAUUUGUGGCUUUCGAAGAAUUUGCGGGUAGGUUCAUCAGUAAAUGGACUGGUCAUUAUGUACCAAUGUAUAGGUGGAAUAUUUGCACCUGCACACUUCAGAGUGAUCAAGGCUGCAGGUCAAACAAAUGAGAAGAGUUCAUGAUAUAGGAGGACUAACCUUCAUUGACAGAUUGAGCUGCCAAUCUUUGAAGACACAGAAUUCGCUCAGCUUGAAGUUGGAAAAGUGAUUUCCCAGAGGGAAGUCCAAUGUCUGAAAGGAUAAGAAUUUCAAUGAAAAGAAUAGUAAAUUUUCAAGGACAAGAAAUUAUGGUAAAACAGGACAUUUUCUAUUGCAUCAAACAAUUAAUGCAUCAUGAUAAUGACUAGUGCAAGAAGUAUAAGGAAUGUUGAACUGAAAAUUGAGUUUACAACUAACAAUAGAAAAUAUUAAAUAGUAGUAUUUUUUUUGUUAAUACCUCUGUAUUUAUUUUGUAUUUUCCAGUUGUUUUAUGCAGGCAAUCAAGGAAAUAACCACAUGAAACAAUGAGUGAUACACGAACAUCUUGUCAGGGACUCAGGAUACAUAUAAAUGAAAGUUUUCUUGUUUAAUUUUACUUUAGCACAUUUUAUUUAAAUAAAGCAAUGUCAACUAUACUUACUGAAGCACCCUUUUGGAUCUGAGCUUCCAAGGCGAGUUCCCUACAUUCAGAAGAUUUAAAUAUCAAAAGGGAAACGUCAAGAACCACUAAACAGCUAUGACCUAAAAUAUUACCAGAGAAGAGUAAAUUACAUGCAACAUAGCCCUGUAAUGGAAAAAAUCCAUGUAAUACAAACUUACAAGUGGACACACCAAUUUUACAUGACCCAGAAUGGCAUAUCUUACAUCUUAGUGACAUAUUAAGCAGUACAAUGCAUAGCGAACUAUUAAUCAAUGCUGAGCGAAGUUAAGUUAUCCUCUAUCAUGUUCAAUUAAGUCAUGCAUAGGUACUUACCUCCCAUAAAUCUGCAGCAAACACAUUUCAACUAAGGAUGUGAAAAUCAUGCAUGCCUUAUGAAGUACGAUAUCGACUAAGCAUACUUUUAUUAUCCUGAAUACCAAUAAGUCAAUAAUUGCAUAAUCAAAAGUCAUCGUGCACUAGCAUAAAAAAUGACAUUUCACCAAACUCUAUCACCAAAACAUCUUUUUCCACCUGUCAGCCAAUAAAAAUAUCCUCAGGUAGAGAUCUCUGUUCAAAGUGUUUGCCCUAUCUCUAAGAUUCAACCAAAACGAAACAAAUACAGAAACAAAAACAAAAAACAAAAUGAUCUUUCUGAUCAAUUAAUGGAUGGGGACUGAUCAAACAAACCUGUCCACCAGAUAAAAGUAACACGCCCAACUUUCCAUCUGAUAUGGCCUUCAAUCCCAUCUUCCACCACCGCUCUCUUUCUUCCAUUGUCCGCUUCUCCACCGUCGAAACAUUGCUCUCUGGAACUGGCUCUAUUGCUGCUGCAGGAAGCCCUACAUAAUCAAGCAAAUUCCCUUAAUUAUACCAUACACAAACAAUGUAUUUGCACAUGCAAAAUGGAAAGUGACGUUUAAGCCGAACCUUGAGAGCGAAACGAGCACCGAAUAAUCCGAUCAACUCUCGGAAGAUCUAAGCUCUGCAGCAAUACAAAAUUAACUUUAAGAUCCGAAAACAAACGGACACCUAAACAUCUCACAAAUAAACUAACCGGAAAAUCCAAGAAUUCUAUUCCUAAAACUAUCAAACAUCUCAAAAUUCAAACAUUACGUCAAACAACUAUAACACAACGGAAUAAAUUCAUCAUCUUCACAUAAACACCAGAACACAUGAAACUCGAAAUCUUUCCAUUUCACUAACUUGAGACGAUUUAAUGUGAUCGAACAGGAAAUCCGACACCACGAAACGCAAAUCACUUACUUAGAUUUCUUCCACACACAAAAAAAAGGAGCAACUGACCUCGAUAUCCUUGACGAGAAUGCCUCUCUCUUCGGGAGAGAGCUCGUCCCAGAGCGCAAAAACGUCUUCCUGUCCGUAAUCCUUAACCCUCUCGAGCAACGACUGCGGCGGCAGCGAAGGCGCAUUAAUUUCCGACGCCGGUUCCCUCAUCGCGUAAUUCCAAAAGCUUCUCUAGAUCUCCGCCAGAUCUAUAGGUUCAAUUGGCAGAAAAGAUAGAGCGAGAUUGAGUGUGUCUAUAUAAGAAAUUAGACAGACAGAGAGAGAAAGAGGGGAGAGAGAGUGUGUUGUUUCAGUUUGGUGGUUAAAUACGAGAGAGCAGCAGCAAGGAAGGAAGAAUCAGUUUGAAGGAGGCGAAAUGACGAAACUAACCCUUACAAGCGAGCCGCAUUACUGAAAAUCCGGCAAUUGGUCGAGGGUAAUUUAGGGAAUCACGUGCUACUUAAUCCCAUGUACCAAACAGUGAAGGAUUUGGGACACGAGUGGUUAUGUGGUUUAAUCAUCGACCUGCCUUUUUUUAUCAAUGUGUUUUUUCAUCGAUAAUUAUGCAAAAAAACUCUCAAAAUAUAUGCCUUUUUCCACUAAUCAUCGCUCUAAUCAUAGAGGGGCGAGCCUCCUAAAUUUUAUUAAAUACAAAAAAGCUGGUUUAGUACAAUUUCCCUUUCUUGUAUAUUAUCUGAAUUAUUAAUUAUAUCAAGUAUACUUUACUUUUAUUGUCAAAAAUCAAAAUGCAUAUAUAGAUUGCGACAAUUUAAUUUCAUCAUCUCUUUAAUAUUUCCAGAAAUUUGAUGGAUCAAUAUUUAAAGCACUAUCGUUGUUUAAUCUUGGAUACCAAAAUUUUACAAUUCGUGAAAAGGGUCAGGUGCAGUAUUAACACUUAUUUUAAUACAAUAGGAUGACAAAUAUAACUUUAUAUCUUGACGAUAUAAAAUAAAUUACAAAAAAGAAUUCAAACAGACUUCAACAGAUAAAUAAAAAAUAAUACAAAUAUCCCGCGGAUAUAUGUAAUAAAUUUUCAAUUCAAUUAUAUUUGGACUUCAACCAAAUGGAUGUUGAGAUAUUCUGCUAAUGUAUUUGCUAGUCUACCAACUAGAAUAUUACUCCGUGUUAUUAAUUUAAAUUGAUGUCGAUAAAUACGUAUAUUUUGGAAGUACCAAAAUAAGGAAUCGGAUCACCAAAUAAUAAAUAAAGUAGUCCCUAUAUAAAGAGUAGUAUCCAAGCAAGGUAUGAAGUAUGAAAACCAACAUGGAAAUCUGCCAUUAUUUAAUGUUGAAUUUUUCAAAUAAAAUUGAUACCAUUGUCUUCGCCACUGUUCAGUGAACAUAUAUAAUCGUGUAAAAUUUAUAAAUUCGAAUAAAAUUCAUAUUAUAUCCAACAACUGAAGACCAUCUAUAUUUUUCUUCUUGUUUGAUUUAAUAUAAGUAGAAAAUUCAAUGAAAUGCAACCAUACAUAAAUAAUAAUUUUAGGUGAGCUGGUAUGUUUGGUAAUCACCCGACAGUUGUUAUAAAGAUGUAAGCAUUGCACCUUAAUAAUUGCCUAAUAAAUUAAAACACAAUAAUAUUUUACAGUGCCUCAUCUUUAUGGCUUAUUGCGCUUAUUAUUGCAAAAUAAUUAUUCACGGUUAUUAUUAUUUAUUUAUGUGAUCGUGUUUCGGAUUCCACAAAUGUAUAUUAUAUUAUUAUAUUACUUGAUAAUAUUCUGACUUUCCAAAAGAAAAAAUAUUACUAGUAUAUUACAUUGAUCUACUGCAUUUAUUCAACUAGAAUUCUUCCAUUAAUGGCGAACAGAUAUAUUAAUAAGGUCUUCAUUAAAAGCCAAUUGAAAGAAAAAAUGUUUUUAGAAGCCAAUUAAUCAUGAUAAAUGUUGUUAUCUUUUUGCAAAUAUUGGAAAAAAUUGUAGUGAUUCUACUUUUUUCUUUGUUGUAUUAUAUGCUAAACACGUAAUCUAAAUUUGAUUUUUGUCGAUUUGCGCCGACAAAAUUAAAACUAGUUCCAUGGGUUUUUUAUUAUGCGAUUUUCCGCACUACGAUCGCUACCGACAACUAGAAGACCAAUUUUAUAUGCCAACUAAAAGAAAAAUAAAUGAAAAAAAAAAAAACUGUGUGAUUGAAAUCUUGGAAAAGAAUAGUGUGAUUAAUUCAACAAAACAGAAGAGCUAUAAUAAAACAGAUUCCAUAUAAUAAAAAUAAAUAAAUAAUGAAGGCUUAUAAUUUUAUAGUAUAUUGGAAAUGUUUAUAAUUAUUAAAUUAUAAUUUUAUUAAAAAAAAUUAAAAACCUUUGAAAGCACAAGCACGCGGACUAAGAAUCGAGUCUCAUAAAAUGUUAUCAAUUACUCCCUCCGUCCGCCAUAUUAUGUAAAAUUGCUUAGGCACAAGAUUUAAUAAAAUUUGUGAUGAUUUUGAUGUAGUGAAGAAAAUGUACCACUUUAUGAGAUGUGUGGUUGAAAUUGAAUUUGGGGUGGUUUUUUGUAAAUAAAGAGUGUUAGUAAGAUAAAAUAUAAGAGGAUGUGGGACCAUUGCCUUAAAAGGAAAGUGACAUAAUUUGCGGACGCCGAUAUAAUAAUUUUUAAUAAUCUUGGCGGACGGAGGAGUAUAAAUAUGGGAGUAUAAUAUAUACACGUACACAUAUUGCAAAUUUAUUAACUCAAAUUAGUUCAAUUUAACGACUCAUCUUUUUUUAUUUUUGUUAAAUAUCAAGAUAAAAGACUAUAUAAAAAUGAGUAUAAUACAAGAGGUACUCAACCCUUACAAGAGAAAAUGACAACAUUACAGACUAAAAAGAUUCCACUUUCUGCAAGAAAUAGGCAAGCAGACUUAAAUAGUAAAACUGAUGAGGAGUAAAAUAUGCGUAAGGGAAACCUGACACACAGAGUCGUCAGGCUGGGAACAAAGGUGGAAAAGAGCUAAUAGUGUUUUCGAGGAAAACAUGAGAGGCAGGAACUUCGGGCCAUUUCGAGAGGAUUUGAAGCCAUAGCGUAGGGCUGAUAUAACCCGAGAGAGGGAAGCAAGUUGAGAGUCAGAUCUGGAAUGAAGUGCGGAAGGGGCAACACCAAGACUCGAGCAGGGCUGACAUAGUCAGGAAGAAAGCUUCAGAGCUGCGGACGCCCGCAGCGCUGGGAAAGACUGAAGGCACAAUUGACUGACAACGACCUGGAAGAUUCUUCCUAACUGCCGGGGUCACUAUCAGCUGUGUAAUUCUGUUUACCCCUGUGUAGGCGUUAUAAAUAGAAGAUAUGUUGGUCAUUGUAAACACAUGCUAUUCAAACACUAAUAUGAUAGUUUCUCUAUCGCUUUAGCUGCUUCGUCUUUUUCUCUGAUUCACUAACACACUACAGUGAAUCAUUCUCCUCAUAAUUAAAGGGUGAAAUUAUGAACUCAUCAACUGGCGCGUCUGUGGAACGGAUCGGGUUUAAGACGUGAAGAAAUCUGUGCAUGAACUCUGCUCGACCGAAUUUCUUGGCAAAAGUUGAAUAUCGUUGUCGGGAAUUCGGGUGUGAAGGGCGUAUACGUUUGUUUAUGGAUAUUUUCGGGUGUUUUGAUCGGUUCCUGGUGGGGUGUUUAUCUGGGUUUUCCCAAUUUUGCAUGCGUCUUACAUGGUUUUAGAUUUGACGUAUUUGUUGUGUUCUUACGCUGAUUACUACGCUACUGUUCGUUUAGAUUCAUGUUUCAUUUGGUGGUAGGAGUCUCUUGAUCACAGAUCUAUGGAAUUUUUGAGAUUUGGGUUUCUGCCGCUUUAUUUGCGGUUGGGAUCAGCUAGAUUUAUCGGAUUUCUUGGAGAUUUCUUGCAUGAUCCCUGUAUCGAACGGGAAUUGGUCUUCUUGGGGGAGUUCUUCAUGGGAAUUAUAAUCCACUUUCUCUGCGGAUAAGAACACAUGUUAUCUAGGAAAUUUACCUUAUAUUAUUCUUUUUGGGAUUUCUAACUUUAUUUCUACAGGUCAUGGAGGACACAAACAUCAUCAAAAAUUUGAUGGGGAUUUCGGGGAGAGGGCAGGCUCUUGCUCCUGAUACGCUGCUACCGUGACUAAUGGGGAAUCCGGGUUGAAGACUUCACACCUACUGGUCCACUUAGGCCUGUACUGUCAGGACUGCAAGUGACUCCAACGGAACAGGGAUCGACUGCACAGGGAGCAGAUGGUUAAUGUCACCAUAACUGAACAAAUGCUGUCUUUUCUAGCUAGCCUCAUGAGACAGGUAUUGGGAACGUCUGCACCACCGCUAAACUUGGGGCUACCCGCGAUCACGGGGUUAGGGACUUCAGGCUCCGACUCAAACACUCCUGGGGAAUUACCAACUGGAAAUCCACCACCUUGGUAAAGAGCACGUCGUCGUUCCCCCGAAAGGAGCAGAAGAGGCCAGAACUGAAAAAGUCAGAGAUAUGCGUCGUCCGGGACCCUUGUUCUCGGGGGAUAUGGAGAAUAUUGAGGAUAUUGGAGACACUUCCAGUCAAACUAGACCUGUCAUAAAACGACGGGAGAAAGGCACAGCGCUGGAGGACACAGUCCAAUUACAAGAGAGGGUCUCGGCUAUGCAACGACACCCCCAGGCAUUGGAGAAAGUUAUUGAGGAAAAAGAGAAAGAGAAAAGCAGGGUUAUCUCACAAAAGAGGGACGAUAUGAGGAUUCUACCAUUUCCAGGGCUGAGAGUCACCGGGAUCGGCAUGAUCAUCGGGGGGAGAAAAACAAGCAUGCCAGCAAAGCUGGAGAAAGCAAGCGCAAAAAUACUAGUCAGCGCUUCCCGGGCGAAGGAAAUGGAGAAAGCCGUCGUCACCAGUGCUACCCUGAAACUGUGGCUAGGGCGGGGUCAAGUCCGUUUUAGGAGUACAUUCUGGCAGAUCUGUUGCCUCGUCACUACAAAUCCAUUAACAUGGAAUAUGACUGAGCUGAUGACCCGGAAGUACACAUGGCCAUAUUUGAAACCAUGAUCACGCUACAUCAGUACACGGAAGGGAUUAAGUGUAAAAUCUUCUCUACCACGUUAACUGGGAUGGCUCAGCAGUGGUUCCGGGCUCUGGAGCCUGAUUCUAUUCACUCUUUUGAAUAGUUGCAUGAUGCCUUCAUGUGUCAAUUCACAAGCUCUAAGCGUGCCGCGAAAACUGCCAUGUCAUCGAUUGAGACUCUAAAGGAGUUUGCCGCGCGUUUUACCAAGGCAUCGCUGGAGGUACCCAAAGUUGAAUCUCAGAUUAAGGGCUAUGCCUUUGUACGUGGCUUAAGACCUGGGGCUUUCUUCGACAAUCUACAAGUAAAACAACCACGAGAUUUUGAAGACAUUUUAGCCCGACUUCUAGGGUAUAUACAGUUGGAGGAAGCCAGAGCUGCUCGAAAGACAGAAUAUAGUGGCAAUAAGCCCAAGAAGGUGGAGGACAGAGCUGAAACGUCAGACGCUUGUCCUCAGGGGAGAGCACCAUACCGGGGACUGCCACCCCGAGUGCUACCAGGGGAAUCGCAGCCGGCAUACCAGCCCGCUCGUAAUGAGCAAAGGUUCAGAGGAGUGAAUAAUGUUAACCGACUUACUAAUCAAAUCCCGCUGAAUAAACUUCAGGAGGAGAUUUUUCAUUUAAUCAAGAAUGAACCAUGGUUCAGGGCUCCGCGAGACUUUGUUACAGGGGCUCCCAAGCCAGGACCAAAUGGACUGCUAUGUCAAUACCAUAAUCAUUAUGGACACCCUACAGACUAUUGUGGGCAUCUGCGUAAUCAAUUGGAAAUAUUGGUGAGACAGGGAAAGCUCGAUCAAUUCGUGAAACAAACACCACCCUCACACUUGCAGGACAACAAUUAUAAUCCCAGAGCUAUGAGGGAACAAGGGAAUCAAGGGGAUGAUCGCAGGGCUGCAUCGCCCCGCGAGGACUACAGGGAUUUAAAUGUCGUUUGCCCAAAGGAUUGUUACCCUUUACCUCGUAUCGAUCAGUUAGUCGAUUCAACCGUUAAAUGUGAUCUGUUGUCCAUGAUGGACGCUUUUCAGGGCUACCACCAAAUCAGCAUGCAUCCAGAUGAUAUAGCAAAGAUAGCCUUUGCAGUAUGCUACGGGGUUUUCGGGUUCGCAAGAAUGCCAUUUGGGCUUAAGAACGCCGGAGCUACGUAUCAGCGCAUGAUGGAUAUGAUUUUCCAAAAUCAAAUCGGGCGCAUCAUGUUAGUAUAUGGGGAUGAUAUGAUGGUGCAAAGCAGGGCUGCCACUUCUCAUCCAUCAGACUUGGAAGAGGUGUUCAGGGUUAUCCGACAGAACAGACUACUGCUGAACUCAAAGAAAUGCACAUUCGGUGUCAGAACUGGAAAAUUUCUGGGCUAUCGAGUGACUCCGCAGGGCAUUGAGGUAAACAAGGAUAAAGUACAGGCUAUCGUGAACAUAACACCACCCAGAAAUGUCAAAGAGGUGCAAACAUUAAAUGGGAGACUCACGGUACUUGGGCGAUUUAUCUCUCGAUUGGCGGAUCGGAGUUUACCUUUAAAAUAAAAUUUUGAGGAAAUGAACAAAGUUCGAGUGGACUCAAAAUUGCCAACAAGCUUUUGAGUAGUUAAAACAAUAUCUAGCGGAACUUCUAGUACUGACCAAGCCGAGAGCUGGGGAAAUCUUAUACUUAUACAUAGCAGUGGGAACGGAAUCCUUAGGGUCGAUUUUUAUCAGGGAAGAGCGGGGGCAGCAGAUGCCAAUUUAUUUUGUAAGUAAAAUGUUACAGGGGGCGGAGCUGAACUAUUCUGAGAAUGAAAGGGCAGCGCUGAUUGUGUUGAUAACGGCUCGCCGAUUACGCUCGUAUUUUCUGGCGCAUAAGAUCAUCGUGCGAACGUCGUUGCCAUUCAAACAAACUUUAGGGCGACCAGAUCUGUCGAGGAGAAUGGUGAAAUGGGCAAUCGAGUUGAGUGAGUACGACGUGGAUUUUGAACCACGGACUGCAUCAAAGCGCAAGCCUUGGCAGAUUUUAUACAAGAGACUACCAGGGCUGAGAAGCAAAAGCCCUGGAGGGCAUUUGUCGAUGGCUCUGUCACCAAGGAGGGCUGUGGAAUGGGCAUCUAUAUUCAGUCCCCCACGGACGACGACUUACAAUUUGCCAUUAAAUAUGAACAUCGCCUAUCUAAUAACGAAGCCGAGUAUGAGGCUGUGGUCAGAGCUUUGAGGAUUUUGUCGGAACUGGGUGUUGAGUCAGUGCAUUUGAAAUCUGAUUCGCAAUUAGUAAUACAGUAGUUAUUGGGUGAGUACGAUAUCAGGAUAAGCCGAAUGGUCGCGUACCAUGUAAGAGCCAGGGAAUUGAUCUCCAAAUUCCAAGACUACCUCAUUGAACAAAUACCACGAGAGCAAAACAACAGAGCUGAUCUACUGGCACGAAUGGCUAGCGCGGUCGAACAUAGUUGGACAAAUUCUGUGACCUUGCUUUUUGAGCCUGACACAGAGGGCAAACAGGGUGUCUUCAGCAUGGGAAUGAGGGAGGAUUGGUGAAUACCUAUAAUCCACUUCUUGCGGACAGGGAAACAGUUUGACUCAGUUAUUUCUUAGCGCUGCCUCUAUGGCAGGUAUUGUAUUAUCAAUGAUCAGCUGUACAAGAGGUCCUUCACUCAUCCUUUGCUGAAAUUUUUAUCUAUAGAAGAAGCGCAAUUCGCUCUUGGGAAAAUUCACCAGGGUUGCUGCGGGAACCACGCCGGGUAUAAGGAUUUGAUGAGAAAAAUUAUCAGGGCUGGGUUUUACUGGCCUACAAUGGCGGAAGAUGCCAAACAAUUUGUCAAGAAAUGUGAGAUCUGCCAAAAGUAUGCCCCGUGCAUUAAUAUCCCAGGGAAAACCAUGGGUACAAUGUACGCCACUUGUCCUUUUGACAAGUGGGGAAUUGAUAUUGUGGGGAAGCUCGCUACAGCUCCGGGAGAAAAGUGUUUCCUCAUAGUGGCAGUGGACUACUUUUCCAAGUGGGUAGAGGCAGAGGCGGUAACGAAGAUAGAUGAAUUUACCAUUGAGAGGUUCCUAUGGCGUAACAUUUGCUGUAGAUAUGGAUCACCGAGAGUACUCGUCACUGAUAAUGGGACGCAGUUCACUGGGAAACAGAUAGAGGAUUUUUAUCACAGAAUGGACAUCAUACAACGCUUCGUAUCUGUAGCUCAUCCACAUGCUAAUGGCCAGGUGGAACUUACUAAUCGCACAAUAUGUGAAGAGCUGAAGAAACGGUUGGAAAAUAGUAAGGGCAGAUGGGCGAAAGAGCUGGACGGGGUCCUUUGGGCUCAUCGUACUAGUCCAAAAAUAGCUACGGGGGAAACACCAUUUACACUUGUAUAUGGUUCCAAUGCUGUAAUACCAGCUGAAGUACGCCUGGCAUCACACAUGGUCUUGCAUUAUGAUCCCAUACAGAAUGAUGAGCUCCGGCGCUUAGACCUGGAUUUCAUAGAGCUGAGCAGAGACGUAGCUAUUCUCAGGGCUGAAAAAUAUAAAAGCAUCAUCAAAGCAAGGUUCGAUAAAAAAGUGGCAGUCAGGAAAUUUAACAAGGGCGAUCUGGUAUUGAAGCGGACGAACACACUGCAUCCAGCCAAGAAAUUUGAUCCUAAUUGGGAAGGCCCCUUUAUGGUAAAAGAGGUGCAGAGCGGUGGAGCAUAUCAUUUGUCUGACAAUGAAGAGAGGCCUCUUACUCGGCCUUGGAACAUCAAUCAUGUAAAGAAGUUCUAUGCUUGAAAGAUCCACAAUUUGAAUCAAUCUUUGUAGACCAAAUACUAUUUUUUCCUACAGGGGUUUUAAUGAGGUUUUGGACCAAGUUUCUUUAAUAAAAUGAGAUUCUUGGUUUUAGGGUAAUUACCCGUGUCUGACAGCAUUUCAGAUUUUUACGGCAUUACUUAUCUUUAGCUAAUCAAGAAUUGUAGGGUUGAAAAAUAAUCGUGCUUGACUUCUAAAGUACUCACACGACACUUGGGGGAGUAGGGGUGUAUACCCCAUAUAUGCCCACUACACCGCGAUACGUAUCCUAUUUUUUAGGGUUAGAAAAUUUAAAAUUUUAGAAUGUCGCCUAAGUUCGAGCUCCUAGAGUUAGCUUAGCGCGGGCAGCUGCCUACACCAGAUCCUAAUGCUGGUAGUAGCGUGAGCACAUAGGACCUAGAAGUUGUCUAAGUUCAAGCUCCCAGAACUGCCUUAGCGUGGGCAUUAAGUGGGAGAAAAUUUUAGAAUAUCGCCUAAGUUCGAACUUCCAGAGCUGGCUCAGCGUGGGCAGCUGCCUACACCGGAUCCCAAUGCUGGUAGUAGCACGAGCACAUAGGACCUAGAAGUCGCCUAAGCGCGAGCUCCCACGGCUGCCUUAGCGAGGCAUUAAGUNNNNNNNNNNNNNNNNNNNNAAAAAUCGCCGAAGUUCGAACUUCCAGAGCUGACUUUAAGCGGGCAUCCGAAAGGGUCAAAAUUUUAAAGAUCGCCUAAGUCCAAGCUCCCAGAGCUGGCUUAGUGCGAGCACUGAGAAAGUCAAUGUAAUAGCGUACAAGUUUAAGUUCUCAAAGGCUGGCCUAACAUAAGCACUCGUUUAAAAUGGAAAAAUGAUAGAAACAAGGAGAAGUGAAAUAAAUUUAUCACCAACAACCAGUUUAUAGUAAUAAGUAAACUAAAAAUAGCGAAAGAGUUAAGAAAUUCUCAUGGAAUAACAGGUUUUGUACAUAUACAAAAUCAAAAGGAAAAUUACAAGCAUCGAGGUAUAUUUGAUCCUAUCUAGGGAGGAGGAACUUCAGGCUGAGAGGAAGCCGAAAUAGGCACAGAGGCAGGGUCGGAAGGUCCAGAGCUAGGGACAGAAGGAGAGGGACUCUCAGCAAAGAUGGGCAGGGUCCUCGCUGGGUCGACGUCGGGGAAGGGGUCAGGAUCUCUAGAAAGGUCCCCAACCAGGGAACGGGUAAAAUUAGCUUCAUCCUUGUAGAGUUUAGCCAACUCCGCAAGAACAUUUUCCCAAGAAGAAGGAAGGUCAGCCAAGUCAGAAGCCACUGGUUGGGGAGGAUAUAGCCCGAACUCAGCAAAGAACCAAGCCGCAACCCUAUCCCCAGACAGAUCUUGUACAAACUCUCGAAGAAUUUAGAGGAAAGGGCUGGAAAAAAUGGGUGCCUCUGGAAUAUCCUCAGAGCAGAGUCCCACCGUGAACUGUUGAAGGGCCCGGUCCAGCGCUGGGUACCAUUAUUCAGAGUUGGCAGGGGCCUUAGGAUUAUACCCAGCUUUACGCAUAGGGUAUUGUUGUCUAGGGACCUCAUCAAGGCCCUCAAAUCCAGCUUUGCCACUUGCUCGGAGGUGGCCCUGGUCAUCUCCGCCCCUUUGCGGCCAAUCUCCAUGAUCAUGUAAGCCAGGGCAGGAAUGAGCUACCGAAGGAAGUCGGGAGUUUUGCAAAAAGCCUCCACCGUUCCCUCGAAAAGGAUCUUGAGGAAUUGAUGACCCUGAGGAGACAGGAAGAACUCCAGUUGUUUGUCGCGGGCCCAAAAGAUAUACCCCUCUCGGUGGGCUCUGAUGCGGGUCUCCCUCCACCGCCUCUUGGACUCGUCGUAUUCGUUGGAGUAGCGUUCUUUGAAUUUAUAACCUAGCUCGUGAGUCUCUCGCUUGGCCUUUUGAAGGGCAGACUCCAAGGAGUUCCUCUCAACCUCCAGUUCUGCCAGCCUGGUCUGAGCACGGGUUAGCUCUGCCUCUGCCUCGCUGAGGCGAGAAGCUGCUUGGGAGGCUUCUUUCUCCUUAAGGACUAGGGCAGAUCUGGCCUCAUCCAAGUUCCCCUCCACUUCAUCGAAAAGUUCCACCUGGCGCAGGGCCCCUGCCUUAUGGGCCUCUUCCUGGGGAUUCACAGAGGGUUAGUACAGUAAUAAGAGGAAGGACACAAAGACACCAAGGAAGGGAGAAAGUGUAUCGUCAUGUAAGCGUGGCUCAACGAUUCAGCCAGCGCCUUACCAGAGAACUCGCGAGCGAUGGCUCGAUCAUCCGGGUGAACCCGGGCCAACAUUUGUUCGUAGAAUUCCCGCCCCUCCAUGGUGGAGACGGGACUGAUCAACAGGGUAGUCCGGUCCUCGGGACCACCUCCUGGCAGCUCUGGCUCCUGGGCAGCAGCUUUGCUCAGACGAAUCGCCCUUCUCUUAAGGGGCGAGGGACUCCACUCUCUCUUUGGAGAUGUCCAUCUUCUUUCUCUUCGGAGCUGUCUUGGCCACCCCCGGGCGGAGGGUAUACACCGGCUCCACAUCAAGGAUCUCUAUAUCCUCAUCAACCUGUUCUUCCUCCUCCUCGUCCCUCAGCCCUGUGUGGACGGAGGAGACAUGUGUGAUUUGCUGCAAGACUGGACUAGGGCGGCGCGGACCGGGGUGGAGGACGUGUAGGAAAUCGGAAUUGAGGAUACGCCCUCAGUCAAGGGAAUGUCAAUGGAGGGGGGAUCUACGUCGGGCCCCUGAACUCUUGAGUGUCACUGACCGUCUUAGACGUGUCAGCGUUAGAAGGAUCAGCCCGAGGAGUGUCAUCUCUGGCCUCGUCCUUGGCUGUCGGGGCUGGGAGAAGGCCCUCGCAAUCCGCCAUCCAAUCCAUCUCUGAAAUAAGUAAGUGGCGAGUUAACAUCAAACAUGUCUUAUCAACACGUAUACAAAAAAAAAACAAAUUUAUUCUUGAAAUGGAGAAAUGGGAGAACAACCCGUUUGCUGCCAGCGUUGAGUUAUUUUGUACUAAGCGCCAGAAAGGGAAAGGCUGAGAAAAGUGAAAGGUGUUGAGCUGAUUAAAAAUGGCUAAGUUCUGAUCAGAGGGAGGGGGUAGAGAGCGGAGCGGCUGGGUAUGCCUCUCUAGGUGCCAGAUCACGUUAGUGACCUUAGCAAAGGCGCGCUGGAUUCCCUUAUCGGUGAGAACUAUACACUACUUAUUUACAAAAAAUUUAUAUGUGGAGGGCAGCUUACUCAUAAAGAUGGUUUUAUAUUUUUUGUUGGUGGAGAAGCUGUAAUGAGUGUUGGUUUUCUUGAGGAUCUGGGUCUGACAGAACAACUCUACCGUGUAUUGGCAACCAUGAUAUCUCAUUAAGAUAUGGAAAAAGAAGGAUUUUCGCGGAGGUGAAGGGGCGAGUUAGUAGAAGGGGAUACGAAAGUAGUUACAAACCUCUACGGGAGAUGGGUGGGGGUAAGCGCAGCCCUGCUGCUCCCAAAGAGCGAUACUGUUCUCUCGUAAAUCAAAGGGACCUUCGAGAGAUUUAUUAUCAUGGAGGCGGAAGGUCAAGCCAGGGAUAGGUCCCUGUAAGGCUUUUUCCAGUCUUUUCAUUUCUCUCACGGUCAUAAUCGAAGAGGGGACAGAGUAGGAAGACAUCUCUACGGCUUCUACGAUGAUUCUACUUACAACUUUUCUAGAAAUAGAAGGGACGAUAGAGGUUUUUUUAUAGACGCAUAACCCAAGGGAGAGAAGAAUGGAAAUAAUACCUAAGUUUGGCCGCAGGAAAGCGAAGGGAAUAAGCAAGGUCCGGAAGACAUCGAGGAAUCAUCGGGUGAACGGCGGAAGCAUACAACGAUCGGAAACUGCAGAGGAAGAUUGAAGGUGCCGAAAAUGAAGAAUGGGGAGGACGAAGGGCCUUUUAUACUUUGGGGGCGGCGCGGAGCACAAGGGUUCCACUGGUCCAAUCCAAGAGUGAUACGUAGCGUUUUCAAACGGGGGUUGCAACUGAAGAUGCGCUUUUUUCUGGAAAGAUGAGAGGUUAUUGGACGGGCCGGGGUCCACCUAAUAGACGAGCAUUUAAUGCCCGACAGAGGGAAAAGGACCGCACUGAAAACAAAUGGAAGUAAUGGAAGAGCUGAUUGAGCGUAAAUAACAAGAACGCUCAAUUAGACUGGGGGAAGAGUAGUUGAUGAGGUGUAAAAUAUGCGUAAGGGAAACCUGACAUCACAUGAGUCGUCAGCGCUGGGAACAAAGGUCGGGAAAAGAGUCUAAAUAGUGUUUUCGGAGGAAAACAUGAGAGGUAGGACCUUCGGGGCUAUUUCGAGAAGAUUUGAACGCUAUAGGCGUAAGGGCUGAUAUAACCCGAGAUGAGGGAAGCAAGUUAGAGAGUCAGAUUUGGAAUGAAGUGCGGAAGGGGCAACACCAAGACUCGAGCAGGGCUGACAUAGUCAGGAAGAAAGCUUGACUGACAACGACCUGGAAGAUUCUUCCUAACCGUCGGGGUCACUAUCAGUUGUAUAAUUACUAGUUUACCCCUGUCGUAUGCGUCUAUAAAUAGAAGAUAUGUUGGUCAUUGUAAACACAUGCUAUUCAAACACUAAUACGAUAGUUUCUCUUUCGCUUUAGCCGCUCUCGUCUUUUUCUCUCGAUUCACUAACACACUACAUGUGAAUCAUUCUCCUUAUAAUUAAAGGGUGAAAUUAUCAAACUCAUCAAAAACGAAAAAGAAAGUUUGCACGUAGCCAUCUCCAAGAGUUAAUCUUCACACCUUCCACGAUCUUAUUGAUAUUCAUAUUAAUAAGUUCGUUUCUCACAUUCCAUAUCCUCGAGACAGCAUUGCCAAAUUAGAUUGAGUACUUUUUUCUCAACCUUUCCUUGUCCUUCCAUAAUGAAGCGGCCAAAAUGUUUGCACAAAUCCGAAGAUAUGAUCCGAGCACAAUUUAGCCAUGUACUCACCAAUGUCCAGACUUGAGUCUGAAAUUAGCAUUCAAGCAUCAUAUAGAUGACGAAUUUCAGGGAUUCCUAAGCAAAUGACGUAGGAUGAAUCUUCAGCACCAGACAAGAUGUUUAUUUUGAUCAAGUUAUCUUUAGUAGGAAUCAUAUCUUGAAGAAGUUUCCAAUAAAAAGCAAACACCUUUAUUGGGAUUGAUUUCCAUCUCAUCUUUGGGAGUAAUAAGAUUGAGACAUCGGUCAGGGCACCUAAAAUAAAAGAAUCAUACAUUAAACUAGUUGAGAAGAGUCCGUUCGUAGAUCAUUUCUACCGCCAAAAGUCAAGCUUAGAAGAUGAAAAUUUGAACCUACAAAUACAAUUCCAAAGAUCCAAAAACUUCUACAGAUCGUUAGCAUUAAAAACACGCCUCUGUCUAAAGGACCAAGACCAAGAGUGACCAAGAACAUCCCUACAUCUCUAACUAACCAUUUUUUGAUAAGAUAACUGAUAACGAGAAGAGAAUUUCCCAAAAUCUGGCACGACUACUAUUUCAUAUCAUAAAAAAUAGAUUAUUGCAAAAGAUCUUACCAUCAACCCCGUUAACUAAAUCAAGCAAAUCACGUCACCAAAGUGACAUUUUUCGUCUAGUGAGACUGUUAGAGUAUCUACAAAGCAAAUGCUCGCAUCUAGAUUUAAGAAUUCUCACACAAAGUGACGCUUCCUCUCUCAACCAUCGCUGUGAUAUCCCGACCUUUUUAUAGGAAAUAUAGAAAACCUUAAAUUAGUAUACUAUUGAUACACGCCCGAUUUUUAAUAAAUUAUAAUAUUUCAAGGAGAUUUUUAAAUUCAUUAUUGUUAGUUUUAUCAAAGGCCUUGAAUUUAUUAUUAAAUUACAUGAGAAAUGUUCUUACUAUUAUUUUUAUUAUUAUUAUUUAUUUAAUUAGUCAUCUACUUUUAUGUUAGGCCUCAAGCCCAAAGAUACUUCUUUUAAGUUAUUUUCUUUAGGGCCCAAACCCAAAUGCAUAAGAUAUGUUUGUAUAAUGGGGUGAGAGCUGAGAUGUACUAGUUCCAUUGUACUAGUGUACUGUCAUUGUACUAUCUAUUUUCCUUUGCAUAAUCUCCUAAUCGACAUACUGCUCUGCAAAUCCUUUUCCAUCUCUUUUCAUUUUUCAAAAUCACAUUUUUCCUCUAUCAUUUUACCAGCAACAACAGUCAAGCUCAGAAAUAUUCUGCAAAACAACCAUGAAAACACAGAAAACUUGAACAUUCCUAGAGCUCAGACCAAUUCUUCUUUAAAACCAAGAAUGAGAAAAAGAAAGAUCAGUUACAAAACAAAACCAAUACGACAUCUUUCAUCAAUAACUUCAGAACUCCAAUCAACCAAAAAAUCAAAUCUUUUUACAUCUGAAAUCUGAACCCUUCUUGCUAGCCUUCGGAGAGGGUGAGAGUCGAGAAGGUGAUAGGAAAGGGAGGCUGUCCGAGCUUGACGCCGGGCUGUCAAGGCCGCGGCUGCCGGCGCUGCAUGCGGGCAGCAGUCUGCCGGCCACUCGCGGCCAAGACAGACGGAGUCGGAGCGAGGCGGUGUCGUGGGCGAGGCCGGGGCGGCGUGGCCGAAGGCCAAGCGCCGCUGACGCGGCACGAACGGAGUAGCAGCGGCGGGGGCCCUCCUUUGCCGUCAGCUGCCGGAAACGCGAGGAAAGGCGAUGGGUGAAGGAGGCCUCAGAUCCGGCAUUUCCCGCCGGGGUUGUUAGCGGCGGCGGCGGUGAAAAUUUAGGGAGGAAGAGAGAGGGGCGGUGAGAGUGGAGAGAAGGGGAAGGGGAAACGAUUUUGGGUGAGAAAAAGAGAGCCACGCGCGUGAAUGAGAGGUCGCCGUGCGGGGGAGCGCGGCUGCCGGCAACUUUCGGCGGAGCUGAAGCAGACGGCGGCGGCGGAUCUGUUUGAGGGAGGGGAGAAGAGGUGAUGGGUGAGAGAGAGAGAAAAUGGGAGUUAUAGAGAGAGAGAGAGACCGUAGAAGGGGAGAGGUGAGAAGAGAGAGAUAUAAGUUGUUUUAAUUGUUCUAUUAUUUUAGGGUAAGUUUUGAUUUUUAUUUUGAGCCUCACUAAUUAUUUUAGUAUGGACAGAUUUUAUUAAAUGAAUGGGCCUAUUGCUAUCAUUCUGAGUGGGCUGAUUUUAUUGAUUUAAAUGAGCUUGUUGCUUUCAAUAUUAUAAUUGAGCUGUAUUAUUUAUAGCAAGUCUUUAAAUUAUUUUUCUUGGACUUUAACUAUUAGUUUGAGCCUGAAAAUGUUUUAAUAAGAAUUAUUAAUUUUUCUUCCAAGAGUAAGGUUCUAUAUUUUUAAAUUAUUAACUAUUUUAUAAGUUUUAAAUCUAUUAUUAAUCAUAUUUAUUAAGUUAUUAAUUAUGUAUUAAAAGUUUAUGGAUUCGCUCAAAGAGAUUAUUAAUUCGGGCAAAGUGUAUCAAUAGUUUGUGAUUUUCCUCUUUGUAUUUAGAAGUUAGAAUAGCACCAAGAGACCUAUUAAGAAUAGAUUUUUUUGUAGGCUUUGAGGAUCAGGAGGAUUAGCACUGCUUUCCCGUGACAGGUUUACGAUUAAACUACAGGCUUUGCCUAUUCAGGUGGGCUUUAUUUUACAUACAAUGUAUCUUGAGUUAUAUAAGCUCUGAUAUUUCAUGAAAGUUACUCGUUUAUCCAAUAUAAAUGUUUUUAUGUGCGUUCUGUAAUUGUUUAAGGCUCACUUAAGUAUCGAUCGAGAUUCUCAUUUGGCCUAACACGCUAAAUGAGGAUUGUGUACACAUGGUUAGUGGCUCGAUGGGUUGAUCACCAUCGUGCACUAACAGAUUUAGAACGUUAUAAGGGUGGGUGCUUGACAGGAGGUUAUCCGGAGCACAGUUAAGGUUAUUGAUUCCGACCGGGUGCGUCCCGAGAUCAAUAACAGAUUUUGGAUCUGACUGGGUGCGUCCCGAGAUCAGUGAAUGUGGGGAGAAAGUGAGUAACAAUCGAACGUACAUGGCGCGCCACUUAAUGAAGAAAAGUUUUGUCAUGCUUAGAAGUGGGAUUCCGUUUUAAAACCUUCUAAGUCAUGAUUGUGAUAUUGGAUAAACUGCUUCGAUUACUUCAUAAAAUAUUUCAGAAACUUGUGCCCACUGAGUACAUUAGUACUCAGCCCAAAUUAUUUUCAAAUGUUUUCAGGUUGAUCAGUUGGUGCAGACGAGGCUGAGCUGAGGCUAAGGUUCCACGAUGUCUUUUGCUUCCGCUAAUAACUAUCUUGUCACCUCACCCUCCAUCCCCUAAAUUGAGAAUUUCUAUUAUGUGGUACAAUAUUAUCUUGUUG